AACCCCCAGCUAGGCUGGGGGUUCAGUAAAGCUUUCAGCUUUGGGUCAGUUAUAAAAACCCCUUUUGAUUUCUUGUUGAACAUUUGCAGUUGCCAGACCGCAAACUGUUUUAACAAAUCAAAAG
Molecule: small RNA, 124 nt
Filed under: Yersinia pestis S3
Lineage: Bacteria; Pseudomonadati; Pseudomonadota; Gammaproteobacteria; Enterobacterales; Yersiniaceae
Description: Hfq binding sRNA
Rfam family: STnc490 Hfq binding RNA
Source: RNAcentral